RNAcentral lists this long non-coding RNA (5724 nucleotides) under Homo sapiens (human). Its description in RNAcentral is "HSALNT0023646". The record is from RNAcentral. Lineage: Eukaryota; Metazoa; Chordata; Mammalia; Primates; Hominidae.
GGUCUCCUCCUACAGGGACGCGCAGCCCGGGACCGCCACGCGCAGCGCGGGAGGGGGAGGGCGGGACCGGGGAACAGGAGGGGAGGGGGACCCGGGUGCUUCCAGCGGUCCGGGCCCGCGGACGGAGUGCGGGCCGAUCCCGCUCACUGUCCCCUUCCGCAGUCCGCGUGCAGCUCCAGGGAGCUGUCCGCCCCGGUGGUUCUGAACCAGGCGCCGCCGAAACGCUCCAGAUGCAGCACUGCCCUCCGGAGCUGUUGAAGAGGAGCAGGUGUUUGCAGAGACUCACAAAAAGGCCCGGCCCCAGUUGAAAGACCAGCCUUGCACUACUUUAUAAGAUGCUGCCAAUGCAGAAUUGUUCAUGAAGCACAUAGAGCUUUUCUACCUCAGCACAAACAGCAUUCACUCUUCAGGUCACUCAUCCAGGCCUGCAAGAGACGGUGAAGCAGGUUUAUUCUCCAGGCCACUUAAGUCAUCUAAAGUAUCCCCUUUUUGGGCAGAAACAGGUGACAUUAAGAGAAACUUGAAAAAAUGUAGAGUGUGGGAUCUUCGAAAGAUUGGAUAGCUCUGGCCUCCUCCUCUCCCAGCCACCCCCCACUCCCAGGCCCAAGUGUCUGCUCCACCAACAUAAAUCAGUGUUGAAAUAUAAAGAUUGAGCUGGGCGCAGUGGCUCACGCCUGUAAUCCCAGCACUUUGGGAGGCCGAGGUGGGUGGAUCACUUGAGGUCAGGAGUUGGAGACCAGCCUGGCCGACAUGGGGAAACCCCAUCUCUACUAAAAAUACAAAAAAGUAGCUGGACGUGGUGGCAUGUACCUAUAAUCCCAGUUUCUUUGGAGGCUGAGGCAGGAGAAUCAGUGGAACCCAGGAGGUGGAGGUUGCAGGGAGCUGAGAUUGUGCCACUGCACUCCAGCCUGGGUGACAGAGUGAGACCUCCGUCCCAAAAAGAAAGAAAGAAAGAAAUAUAAAGAUCUAUGCAUUCCUAAAUCUGUUUGUUCCAGAGACUUUCCAAGGAUCAAAGCAAGAGUAAACUAAAGGUAAACCUGAGAAUGGAGAACAAAGUUACUCUGUUUCAUCAUUAUCACCUCCCUUACACUCCUGGAGGUCAGCAGUCCAAAAUCAGGUCCCCUACACUAACUUCAAGGUGUCUGCAGGGCUGGUUCCAUCUGGAGACUCUAGGGGAGAACCCAUUUCCUUGCUGUUUCCAGCUCCUGGUGGCCACCUGCAUUCCUUGGCUUGUGGCCCCUUCCUCCAUCUUCAAAGUGCAUCACCCAAUCUCUGCUCCCUCACCACAUCACCGUCUCCCCUUCUGUAGUCAAAUGUUCCUCUGUCUCCUUUUUAUAAGCAUUCUUAUUAUCAUAUUUAUGGCCCACGAGGAUAAUCCAGGAUAAUCCCCCAUCUCAAGAUUCUUAAUCAUGUCCACAAAGUUCCCUUUGCCAUGUAAGGUCUUAUUCACAGGUUCCAGGGAUUAGGAUGUAGACACUCUAGAGGGUCAUUAUUAACUCACCACACAAGUAUUCGAGAAUUUUCUCUGUAUUCUGGCUUUAUCAUUUGUUUUGAUUAAAGAAUAUAUAUUUAAAAUAUGCUUUUAUCUUAAAUAUAAUUUCUAUCUUUCACAUUUAUGACUGUUCUCAUACAACUGAGGUUUUGUGGUAUAUAUAAAAUGAUCUUUGACCAAUCUUAUUAAUUCCCAAGGCUCAGCCCUGGGAUUUAGGGAUUUGAUUAAGACCUAUUUCCAGGGAAACUGCUGAUGGCUGCCUUCUCUGGAUUUCCCGCCAAAUCUCCAUGCUCCCUCUGCCUGGGAAUUGUUUUCCAGUCUUGACUGAUUAUAUUUUUUUUAUAUAGAGAAGGGGGAUCUUGCUACAUUGUCCAGACUGGACUUGAACUCCUGGCUCAAGCAAUUAUCCUAACUCAGCCUCCAGAGUAGCAGGGACUACAGGCGUGUCUCACCACACCCAGCAAGACAAAUUUCUUUUUAUCACCAUGCUUUCUUCCAAAUCUCUUGUCUAUGCCACAACUCUUUUCCAUUUACUGAUGAGCUUUUGGAAAUUUAAAAAUUGAGAAUAGACUAAGUUUUCUCUGCUCUCUCCCCUCACCUCUAUUCCCUCAGUCCUUGAGCACAAAAUGUUAUAUCUUGUGCAGUUAAAUAAAGUAAAAAAAGUAAAACCUGGGGAUUGUGAGGGGGUUGAAACAUGCUGAGAAAAACCAGUCAAUUGAUAUUGAAAACACGCCAUCCACUGCAGUUGUAAAACAACUGGACACAUUCCUUUAGUUUUGACUCUAGUCUCCAAGCCGAAAGGUGGCUGGGGAAAGAAAGUGGAGGGACAGGCGGGGCUGGCUUCGGGGUGGAAAUCCGUAGACACAGAGACCUGCCCUCAGGAGUGCCUGGAGCUGGGUCUUGUGCUCUGCGGUGGAUGGGUUGAGAUUUUCAGUGAUUUUAUCUUUGAACUUGUGUUUUGUGAGUGAAGUUGGUGGGACAGAGGAGCAUGUUUCUGAGCAUAGGAGGUAGGAUGACGGCUGUGUCCUGCACUUCUAGCCUCCUCAUCUGCAUGGAGCAUUCAGGGUGCCCGUGAGCCCAGCAUUACCCAGGACAAUGUGAGAGAGGGCAGUGAAUACAAGCAAAGCGAGUGACAUCUGCCACUCAGUAAAAAAGGGCAUGGGCCACCCACAGAGGCCACAUGCUCCCCGCACACCAGAACUUGCACCAGAUGCAGAAAGAAGGCAAUGUUGUUCUAAGAAACAUGAACAACCAGGAACCUCAGCAUAUCCUUCCACACCCCUAUUACUUCCCAGGGUCAGCCAACCACUUACGCUGAGAAUGGUGACAUAGAAGGAAAGGAACAGAUAGGGUAACCCAUAGUUCCUUGUCUUUUCAGCCCUUCCUUACUCAUCAGUUAGCCAGAGGAAGGAGUGUUGGUAGAAUGUGUGUGCAUCAAGAAGCAAAAUAAAAGCAGUUGCGUUUAUUUUGUGCAGGAUUUCCACCCUUCUGUGAAGAACAAAAUCCAUAUGCCUAUACCAGUUUUGAGAUUGAGUUGUGUCAUUCUGGUGGGUCCACAUAUGAGUGAUUCAAAGCUAGCAUUGCAAACUCUAAAGAUAAAUGGUAAAAUUCAUCCUGAUGAUUAAAAUUUCAAAUACUUCUUUACCUAGGGCAGCAUUAAAUAGGAAAUAAAAACACCAUGACAAGCCAAGAGAGAGACCCCAGAAGAAAGAAAAAUUCUUUCUAUUUUAGUAUCUUUAACAGUGCUUUUCUUUAUGCUUUUUGACCAAAAGGUCCUAUAUUUUCCUUUUGCACUAAGGUUGCAAAUUCUAUAGCCAGCCCUGGGAACAGCUGUGCAGUAACUGGAUGACCCUGUGGGGCAAAUGCCAAUGAUUUCCUUCCCUGCCUCCUGCCCUGACACAGUAGCGCCACACAAACCCCCCAAACUGAAAUAAAACCUUAGGGCAAAAGGAAGGACCCUCAAUUUGAAAGAGAUCAUUUCUGAAACAUAGGCGUAUUAGUAUACUAGGGCUGCCACAGCAGAGUCUUACAGACUGAGUGGCUCAGACAACAGAACUUUAUUUUCCCACAGUUCAGGAAUCUGGAAGUCCAAAAUCAAGGUGUUGGCUGGGUUGAUUUCUCUCUCUCUCUUUCUUUCUUUCUUUCUUUCUUUCUUUCUUUCUUUCUUUCUUUCUUUCUUUCUUUCUUUCUUUCUUUCUUUCUCUUUCUUUCUUUCUUUCUUUCUUUCUUUCUUUCUUUCUUUCUUUCUUUCUCUCUCUCUCUCUUUCUUUCUCUCCCUCUCUCUUCCUUCCUUCCUUCCUUGCUUUCUUUCUUUUCUCUCUUUCUCUCUUUCUUUCUGUUUUUUUUUUUUUUUUGAUGGAGUCUGGCUCUGUCACCCAGGCUGGAGUGCAGUGGCACAAUCUCGGCUCACUGUAACCUCUGCCUCCCGAGUUCAAACAAUUCUCCUCCCUCAGCUCCCAAGUAGCUGGGAUUACAGGUGCCCACCUCCAUGCCUGGCUAAUCUUUGUAUUUUUAGUGGAGACAGGGUUUCGCCAUGUUGGCCAGAUUGGUCUCAAACUCCUGACCUCAGGUGAUCUGCCCGCCUCGGCCUCCCAAAGUGCUGGGAUUACAGGUGUGAGCCCCCAUACCCGGCCUCUGGGUUGAUUUCUUCUGAGGCCUCUCUUGACCUGCAGAGCACUGUCUUCUCCCUGUGUCUUCACAUGGUCGCAGCUCUGUGUGUAUCUGUGUUCUAACUGCUUCAUCUCAUAAAUACAUAGGUCAUAUUCGAUUAGUACCCACCCUAAUAACCCUGUUUUAAUUGAAUUACUUCCUUAAUGAUUCUAUCUCCCAAUUCAGUCAGAUUCUGAGGUCUUACAGGUUAGGACUUCAACAUAUAAAUUUUGGGGGGACACAAUGCACCCCAUAAUAAUAGGCAAAAUUGCAUUUGAAACAGAAAUUUAGACACAUUUCAGAAAACUAAAAUUAUAUUUCUUGUGCACCUUAGUAGAUAGACAUAUGGUGAGCCAUCCUUUGCACUUCCAUGUAACUCCACAUAUCCACAAUCAAAACAACUCCCAAGGCUCCCUAGUGUGGGAUUUGGCCCCUUUAUGUUCAGUAGCAACAUAAACCUCCCUGGGGCUUUUGUUUUGUUCUAGCAGAAAAUUAACAGGAAGAGGAAUUGAGCAUUUGGGCAUCUCGUUGGUGUUUGUUCUUAAUCAUACUCUACUCAAUCAUUCAAACCUAAUUAAGCUCUUGGCAUCAUAGAGCAGGGAUAAGUUUAAUUACAUGUCAUUGGCCGCCAGUGUGCCUUUCUUAUUUUUGUUACUAUUUAUGUUACUUUUAGAUACAAGAGACAGGCUUCUUUUAAAAUCCAUAAUUUAUCAAAUAAAAGACACUUGUUGAGCACCUUCUAUGCCCAACACACUAUUAAUUGGCAAAAUUAACCAUUUUGCCAUUUCCUUUGAAGAGAAAGUAUAACUUCGUUUUGUCUUCCUUGAGAAAAUUUCUCCAGGGAGAAUCCUAAAAGUUCAGAAAGGGUUCCAAAGAAAUCCACUGGCAGCUGGCUGAAUCAUUCUUCACAGUAGAGCAGAAUCAUUUUAAAACAGGUUAAUCUUGAAUAUCCAGGCAAAGAGACUGUUUUAAAGUCAUCUCAAACCAUGGGUUCCAUUAUUAUGAGGAAUAGUAGUUGUAAUCUCAAUAGCUACUGUUAAGAACGACUCUGCUUAUUGAAAGCUGCUGAGCUCCCACUGGCAUUAUCUCAUCAUCCUUAGGACAGCCCACUGGGGACACAUUAUUUUCAUCUUCGUCUUAUGGACGAGCACUAAGCCUUGGUGAGAAGUCACACAACUCUCCCAAGGGCCUGGAGCUAUUGAGAGGGCAGCUGGAAUCUCCGUCCAUUCUGAUUCCAGUGCCUGUGUUUGCAAACACUGGGCGACACUGGCCUUUCAAUGUGUGGGACUGCUGAUGGAGGCAGAGGUGAGACAGCAAAGUCACCUGGUCCACCCCCUUCCUCAAGAUGAUCUCAGCACAGCCUGCAGUGACUGCCUCGGAUGGGAAUGACAGCCAAAUGCUGUAGAGGGCGUAUUUCAGGGAGUGGAUAUGGUGGUAAAGGUAUGCUAAAAACUCACAUUGUGGACGGAGGGAAACGAGGCUUGGGGUCUAUAUUGCAGUGGUCUCCAAACAUUUUUUAUUGUGUAUCUCUCUUUCCAAAAAACAAUUUUUAUUCAGAACAUAUGACCAAUGUAAGUAUAUCU